Molecule: long non-coding RNA, 747 nt
Filed under: Homo sapiens (human)
Lineage: Eukaryota; Metazoa; Chordata; Mammalia; Primates; Hominidae
Description: HSALNT0381814
Source: RNAcentral
GUGAGGAAGUGGAGAGAGAGAGAGUGAGUUUGGACAAUUAUUUCUGGAAGUCUGGCCGAGAAAAGAAGGCAUGAGGAGCUAGUAGAUAAGUGAAUGAUUCAGCAGAGAGAGAGACUGCUCCCUAAAAAGGAAUCUCUAGAAAGCUGGAAGAGGAUAAGAACCAAAGCACCACAGAAGUUAGCCUUCAACAGAAUGACAAGCCUUGUAACUGGACGAGAGGAGGAAAGGCCACAUACAGAUCAAAUGGAGGGCUCUCUUUCCAAUGAGAACAGACACUGAAAUAAAGAGGGCCCUUAGCCGGGUGUGGUGGCUCACACCAGUAAUCCCAGCACUUUGGGAGGCCAAGGCAGGAAGAUCACUUGAGCCUAGGAGUUUUGAGACCAGCCUGGGCAACAUAGGGAGACCUUAUCUCUACAAAAUAAAUAAAUAAAUAAAUAAGGCCCUGCAGGGGCCGGUGCUAUUAUUUUUAAAAGGAGGGUAUAGCUUUUACCACAUAGUAUUGAACUAGGUGCUCACCCUGUUUGCCCUGAAAUGGAAAAGCUGUCUGGGAUAGAAACGUUCAUUAUCUUGACUGCAGUGGUUUCACCAGCAUAUGCUCAUGUUAAAACUCAUCAAAUUGUACCCUUUAAGUAGGACAAUUUAUUGUAUAACAAUUAUACCUCAAUAAAGCUGGUUGUUAUUGCGGGGAGGACUGUUUUGUUUUAUUUUGGUUUUUUUCUUACUCUUUGUUUUUGUUGUUGUUUUUAA